UUUAAGCAGCCAAUGGCAAAUGUCCUCAAAAUGGAAUCAGAUGUUUGUAACUUAAUACUUAAGAAAAAUGAUGAGUGCGUGUUUUUUUACUUUUAAGUAUUCUCUGUGCUGCCUAGCUUAAGACAUAAACUGAUGUAAAAAUAAAUGACUGCCUGCAUAAUUUAUGUAAUGUCCUGCUCCUGAUCCUGUUUGUAUUGAUUUUUCUAAAAGGCUUUUGUGGCCACAGGAACCAAUCUGUCUCUCCAGUUUUUUCCGGCCAGCUGGCAGGGAGAACAGCGACAAACACCUAGCCGAGAGUAUGUCGACUUAGAAAGAGAAGCAGGCAAGGUAUAUUUGAAGGCUCCCAUGAUUCUGAAUGGAGUCUGUGUUAUCUGGAAAGGCUGGAUUGAUCUCCAAAGACUGGAUGGUAUGGGCUGUCUGGAGUUUGAUGAGGAGCGAGCCCAGGUAGGGUGACGUCAGUCUUUAUUGAGCAUGGUCCCUUUAGUCCCUAAUCUUGCCUUUGUCUGGGGACCUAUUUUACCCAAUCUUUAAGAGUAAGUAUAGAAAGUAUUAUGUUGAAGCAAUAUUGAGGAAUCCUGAAAAUGUUGAGACUCAAAUUCUGGUCCUGA
This 608-nucleotide small RNA is filed under the name Pongo abelii (Sumatran orangutan). Its description in RNAcentral is "retained intron". The record is from RNAcentral. Lineage: Eukaryota; Metazoa; Chordata; Mammalia; Primates; Hominidae.